CUACUGCUAAAAGCCAAGGCUAAGUGCGAACGACACCUGAAAGCCAAGGUGCCCAAGGUGCAUGGUUAGGCUGUGGGGAAGAUCUUUCAGCAUAAGAUGUUGGAAAGCAAAGUUGUCACAGCCUCUUUCUGCUGCUCCAGAACUCCAGAUGCCAAGGGGUCAGGAGGAUGCAAGAGUCAUGGUCAUGGGCUUACAGCCCUUAUCACUAUACCCAAAGCCCAGGCAAUGCAUGGGAGAUAGCAUCACCAGGCAAAGCAUGGGAGAGAGCAUCAACCAUCAGUUCUCCCAAGAUCCUUUGCAGCAAGACACCAGUGGUAUGGGAAACAAAGCAUCCUUCCAACACUCCUUCUCUGUUUCCCUCUGACACACUCUCUCUAUAUUCUCCUCAAAUGGGCCCAAGCUCAGCUAAGCCUCUUUCUUCCACUUCCUUUCUAUUUUGGGCUGCAAAAUCACUACCAGAUGUAGGGCUGGAGGGAGAAGGAAGGGAGAAAGCUCUCUCAUGUGGGUAGCAAAGUAAUCAUCCCCCAUUGGUUUCUUUCAUCAGUUUCACAUGUGUUAAUUAUUGGCACUGGGGCUGUAUGCUGAGGCACCCUGCACCCCCCCUGCCCCCAGCUAGUCCUGGAUGGGCAUCCUCUCCCAUCUCCCUCUAUUGCCUGAGAGAAGAGGGCAAGCCAGAAUGCUUCUCACCUUCACUGUUGCAUCUCAGAGAUCUCUUUUCCCACAGCCAGCACAGUGGGAGUACCUGGAGACAUCACCAGCAGAGGGAAAGGUCCCCAAAAGCCAGCUGUGAUUUUAGAGCAGAGUUGCCUGCCCACCUGGUGUCCCUCUCCUGUUGGAAAUGACAGCAAGGGGCCACAAAAGCCCAGCUUUCAUUUUAUUCUAAGCCUCCAGCUUUACAUCAGCCAAAACCUCAAGCCACAUCCUCUGUUGCUUCUUUGUCCUGUUCACCCAAUGCCCAAUUAACACCUCAUUAAAAACCAUAUGUGCAAAGGCAUUUCCUUCUGUCGUACUAUAGACCACCUGCCUACCUUGGGAUCUGGUGAUAUCAACCAGCUGGUCUUGCUCUCACACCCUAUUUUCUAACUCUUCUCUAUGAGACUGUCAGCAUUUAGUAUUGAUCUCUCUCCUUAAUUGUCAGCAGCAGUGUUGGUAGGGCUGAGGAGAUGUGUAUGACUGACAAGCAGACUUUGGGCUCUUUACCAUGGUCAGUUUGGUAGAGCAAAGGAAUCAAGUCACAGGGCUUUGCAAACACGCCCUUGGUCCUGUUUUGAGACAUGGUUCUGCGACUGAGGCCAGCAGUAGCUCUGCCAUUCACUGAAACAGAAAGAAAUCUAAUGCAUUGUUGUUUAGAUAUCUCGUGGACCCAAGUCCUGGCUUUGGAAAAAGCUAUUCUGAGCUGCUCGGGCAAUAAAACUCAGGCUCGCUGCUCCAUCCUGUAGCAAGUGUCUGUCCAAUCCCAAAUAGUACAGCCAAGAGGAGGAAUCAUCUUGAUGUCAAUACUCACAUCAGCAUAUUCAAGGCUUUAAAGACUCAAGGCAAUCAUUAGCAGUAGGUGGGUAGAUCAAAUUAAUCUGCAAGAGGUCCACUAAUCCAAAGGCAGAAUGAAUUCUGAUUUAACCCUUCCCAAGAAAUGUUUUCUUAAGAUGUUGUGAAAGAACCUCCAGUGGCAGCACCUCUGUAACACCCCAGAAAUUCACUCUAGCACUUCACGAACAAGGCAGCGAGUUGCCAGACCAUCUCUGAGGUGGUCUAAAGAGUUGAUGGUUGCAGACAGAGGAUUUUGCAAUUUGGAGAAGAUCUUCCCACUUUGCAGAAGAGCUGCCAUCCACAGAUUUCUAGACUACAGAUGCCCUUGGACACAUGAAAUGAUAAUGUUAUGGGGUAUUUGUGAACAGACUAACUCAAUCUCCGUUUUGCAGUGUGUCUGCUCCAUCACGCUGCAGGAGUCGAAGGAGAUGGAUAGGUUUAGAUCCUCUUGUGGGGUGAGGGGUGACAGAACAAAAAGCUGUAAUCUGCACUGUGUUAGCUUUAAUGCAAUUAAUUGCUUGGCUAAGGCUCAGAAGCUUAGUUUUUGCACAAAGGCUUCAGAGCCCAGGGUGAAAAGUGGUUAGGUCCAAUCCUUUCGUCCUUUGAUGAUACGGAAACUGGGGCCUGGUUUCUAUUUGUGCUAAUCACCCAAGGACAUAUGGGUCUGUGCCCUUCUCAGCCAGAUGGAGGACCUGAUCCCAUUGCCUCUUCCCUCACUACAGACCCAAAAGAAAAAGCCUGGGAAGGGCAACGUGGUCUUCACAAUUAAGAUGCCCCAGCCCCCACUUGCAGACAAUAUUUAUGGAGGCAAAGUGGUUGUGACUUGGAGCAAUAUAAAUCCUGGGUGGCCACCCCAAGCCUUCAGGCAGUCUCCUCUGAUAUCACUCAGAGUAUUUCUGAGGAGCACCCACCUCGGUGGCAGGAGGACUCUUCUAACUGCCGUGGAGGACUUGGGAUGUGUUACCACACUGCCAGGUCCCCUAUCUGUCUUGUCUUUGGGUUUUUAGUGGUGUAGGACAGAGUUGUCCCUCACAAUGCAUUUGUAUUUUGGCUCUGCAAGACCUAGCCUUUCCUAGAAGGAAAACAAGUGACUCUGCAGGCAGGUGGAGAGCUGUGCCCAGGACCAUUUGACCCUCCGUUUGAUAAUAAUGGCAGCCCAUGGUGCUGAUGUGCCACUAUAUCUAUACCGAGUCUACCUGCUGGCAAUGCAGACUGAUGGUCCCGAUGUCAGAUGCAUAAAGGACCUCAUCUCUUUGCAAGAUCUCCCCCACGGCAGCCAGCCGUGCUCCUUCCUGUCUUAACAGCUCACAGUGCCUCCUGAAAGCAAGGCUGGAGACUCAACCCCUGCCCCUGGAUUUUAUUUUUCUUUUCAGCAGUGUGAUGAAUAGGUCCCACUCUGAAGGCUGCUUCUGCCGGUGUAGAACAGACUUAUUUUAUAUUAGAGGUGGGGCAAGCGCCGCUGAGAAGUAUGUUUGCUGAUCACAGGGAGCAGUGCACCUCUUGGCCUGAAAUGAUUUAUUGAUCUGGCUGGUAUUCAAAGGGCAAAAGGGAAUAGGCACAGU
RNA transcript from Gymnogyps californianus (California condor), 3089 nucleotides. It is a transcript of the gene named parathyroid hormone 1 receptor, with no coding region annotated. The transcript is spliced from 2 exons. Lineage: Eukaryota; Metazoa; Chordata; Aves; Accipitriformes; Cathartidae. The record is from RefSeq and is a predicted model, not a curated record.